RNAcentral lists this unclassified non-coding RNA (370 nucleotides) under uncultured Pleosporales. Its description in RNAcentral is "sequence contains ITS2". The stretch from base 1 to 154 matches the Rfam family "5.8S ribosomal RNA". The record is from RNAcentral. Lineage: Eukaryota; Fungi; Ascomycota; Dothideomycetes; Pleosporales.
AACUUUUGGCAACGGAUCACUUGGUUCUGGCAUCGAUGAAGAACGCAGCGAAAUGCGAUAAGUAGUGUGAAUUGCAGAAUUCAGUGAAUCAUCGAAUCUCUGAACGCACAUUGCGCCCUUUGGUAUUCCUUAGGGCAUGCCUGUUCGAGCGUCAUUUAAACCCUCAAGCUCUGCUUGGUGUUGGGCGCUUGUCCCCGCCUUCUGGCGCGGACUCGCCUUGAAAUCAUUGGCGGCCUACGUACCGGCUUCGAGCGCAGCACAUUCGCGUCUCCUGCCUGGCACGCUGGCAUCCAGCAAGCCUCACUCCAAUUUUGACCUCGGAUCAGGUAGGGAUACCCGCUGAACUUAAGCAUAUCAAUAAGCGGAGGCU